GGACUAUUGAACUGUUUGAGGUUCAGCUCCAGAGGACUAUUAGAUUAAGAUCCGGUCCUGAGGACUAUUACUCACAGUUUUAGAUCCAUUUUAGUGGACUAUAAAACUGUUGAAGGUCUGUCCAUUAGACAAUUACACAGUUUAAGGUCAUCACAAGAGGACUAUUGUAUCAAGGUAAUCUCCAGGGUAGUAUUGGAUCAAGUUCACCUCCAGAGGACUAUUGGAUCAAGGUCAGCUCCAGAGGACUACUGGAUCAAGGUCAGCUCCAGAGGACUAUUGGAUCAAGGUCAGCUCCAGAGGACUACUGGAUCAAGGUCAGCUCCAGAGGACUAUUGGAUCAAAGUCAGCUCCAGAGGACUAUUGGAUCAAGGUCAGCUCCAGAGGACUAUUGGAUCAAGGUCAGCUCCAGGGGACUAUUGAAUCAAGGUCAGCUCCAGGGGACUAUUAGAUCAAGGUCAGCUCCAGGGGACUAUUGGAUCAAGGUCAGCUCCAGUGGACAGUUAAAUAAAGUUUGACACAACGAUAGAAAACUACAAACCACAGGCCUCCGCAUCCAUAACGCUUACUGUUAGUCCUUCUCUCUUCUUCAUCCAUAACGCUUCCUGUUAGUCCUUCUCUCUUCUUCAUCCAUAACGCUUACUGUUAGUCCUUCUCUCUUCUUCAUCCAUAACGCUUACUGUUAGUCCUUCUCUCUUCUUCAUCCAUAACGCUUACUGUUAGUCCUUCUCUCUUCUUCAUCCAUAACGCUUCCUGUUAGUCCUUCUCUCUUCUUCAUCCAUAAUGCUUCUUAUUCCGCCUCUCCUCCUCCAUAGUACUUUCUGUUCCUUCUUUCCUCCUCCUUCUCUUGUAAAGUCAUGUUAAAUAUAUCCCAGCUUGGAGGUAUGUUCUCUAAGAAGUGACCAGCUGCUGCUAAGUGUGUGAGUCAGCUCAGCGCUCUGCUGUGCUCCAGGCUGUAAUGCAGCUACCCUGGUCACUGUUUGAGAGGAGAAAGUCCUAAGCAGGCAGACAAAGGAUCUCCCCUCAUACCCACAGUGCAUUGUCUCACUUGCAUGGCUACUCAGAGUCCUUGUUCCGGGCAAACACUGUGCCCAGGGACAUUUCUUUUUUUCUCUGCAAAACAUGUCUGGAUAUGAACAGACUCCCCUGAAUCAUCUGAAACCUAUGGUCUGGGCCAGAAGCAGAAUCUCAGUAGUGUGGGACCAGUGAAAGUUCUCACGGACUGCCCAAGUCUGGGGCCAAUGCCAGUACCCACCGCAGAGCCCAUCCAUCCAGUGGGAAGCAACCGUCACACUGUGGAACGCAACCUCAGCUAGUCUGGGCUGGACGGGCCAGUUAACCCCUGGCCAGCUCACCCACCGCCACUCAGACAACAGUGGGCAUGAUACAGUAUAAGUGGAUUACCUUGAAACAGGACGGAAAUGCAAAUGCAGUGAAUGUUGUAAAAACCCAUGAGACAAUUCAGUGAGCAGCAUUCGCAAUUAGCCAACGAAAAGAGAAACAGUGGUUGUCUAUAAGAUAGGGUGUGUGUGGGAGAAAUGGGAUAUUAGAUUCAGG
This is a long non-coding RNA of Esox lucius (northern pike), 1554 nucleotides long. Lineage: Eukaryota; Metazoa; Chordata; Actinopteri; Esociformes; Esocidae. The record is from Ensembl.